AUUUUUGCUCAAGUGGCGAAAGACACGGAUGGAUAAAACGCACCGGCUGUGUUGAUAUGUCUUCCCCGGGAGAUUUGCGAAUCCUACUAUGGUCAAGGUCCAGCUCAGUUCCAGAUCUUCAGGAAGCUGUCCCACGAGCCAGUGCAAACACACAUGCCAUCUGAUGGUACUCCGGUGCAGCUCACCCGGUUGUCAUGGCCAGACAACACUCCUUGAGUCCCAGAUAUUGCAGUUGAAGUCAUCAUACCCGGCGAAGAUGAGACGGCCCGACAUGGACAGAGCCAGUGAUGUCACCCCGCUGUUCAGCUGAGCAUCCUGGUAGCCAAUCACUUCCUGAUCCGAGCGGA
Triplophysa dalaica is the source of this 347-nucleotide long non-coding RNA. RefSeq lists it as uncharacterized. The record is from RefSeq and is a predicted model, not a curated record. NCBI's taxonomy places the organism in Eukaryota, Metazoa, Chordata, Actinopteri, Cypriniformes, Nemacheilidae. The transcript has 3 exons.